RNAcentral lists this ribosomal RNA (891 nucleotides) under Trichoderma atroviride. Its description in RNAcentral is "LSU rRNA". It matches the Rfam family "Eukaryotic large subunit ribosomal RNA", at positions 40 to 961 of the family's 3401-position model. The record is from RNAcentral. RNAcentral also lists the same sequence under 2 other names. Lineage: Eukaryota; Fungi; Ascomycota; Sordariomycetes; Hypocreales; Hypocreaceae.
AUAUCAAUAAGCGGAGGAAAAGAAACCAACAGGGAUUGCCCCAGUAACGGCGAGUGAAGCGGCAACAGCUCAAAUUUGAAAUCUGGCCCCUAGGGUCCGAGUUGUAAUUUGUAGAGGAUGCUUUUGGUGAGGUGCCGCCCGAGUUCCCUGGAACGGGACGCCGCAGAGGGUGAGAGCCCCGUCUGGCUGGCCACCGAGCCUCUGUAAAGCUCCUUCGACGAGUCGAGUAGUUUGGGAAUGCUGCUCAAAAUGGGAGGUAUAUGUCUUCUAAAGCUAAAUAUUGGCCAGAGACCGAUAGCGCACAAGUAGAGUGAUCGAAAGAUGAAAAGCACCUUGAAAAGAGGGUUAAACAGUACGUGAAAUUGUUGAAAGGGAAGCGCUUGUGACCAGACUUGGGCGCGGCGGAUCAUCCGGGGUUCUCCCCGGUGCACUUCGCCGUGUUCAGGCCAGCAUCAGUUCGGCGCGGGGGAAAAAGGCUUCGGGAACGUGGCUCCUCCGGGAGUGUUAUAGCCCGUUGCAUAAUACCCUGCGCUGGACUGAGGACCGCGCAUCUGCAAGGAUGCUGGCGUAAUGGUCACCAGCGACCCGUCUUGAAACACGGACCAAGGAGUCGUCUUCGUAUGCGAGUGUUCGGGUGUCAAACCCCUACGCGUAAUGAAAGUGAACGCAGGUGAGAGCUUCGGCGCAUCAUCGACCGAUCCUGAUGUUCUCGGAUGGAUUUGAGUAAGAGCAUACGGGGCCGGACCCGAAAGAAGGUGAACUAUGCCUGUAUAGGGUGAAGCCAGAGGAAACUCUGGUGGAGGCUCGCAGCGGUUCUGACGUGCAAAUCGAUCGUCAAAUAUGGGCAUGGGGGCGAAAGACUAAUCGAACCUUCUAGUAGCUGGUUUCCGC